Molecule: ribosomal RNA, 676 nt
Filed under: uncultured Curvibacter sp.
Lineage: Bacteria; Pseudomonadati; Pseudomonadota; Betaproteobacteria; Burkholderiales; Comamonadaceae
Description: bacterial SSU rRNA
Rfam family: Bacterial small subunit ribosomal RNA
Source: RNAcentral
AGUGGCGAACGGGUGAGUAAAGUAUCGGAACGUGCCCAGUCGUGGGGGAUAACGUAGCGAAAGUUACGCUAAUACCGCAUACGAUCUAUGGAUGAAAGCGGGGGAUCGCAAGACCUCGCGCGAUUGGAGCGGCCGAUAUCAGAUUAGGUAGUUGGUGGGGUAAAGGCUCACCAAGCCGACGAUCUGUAGCUGGUCUGAGAGGACGACCAGCCACACUGGGACUGAGACACGGCCCAGACUCCUACGGGAGGCAGCAGUGGGGAAUUUUGGACAAUGGGCGCAAGCCUGAUCCAGCCAUGCCGCGUGCAGGAUGAAGGCCUUCGGGUUGUAAACUGCUUUUGUACGGAACGAAAAGGUUUGGCCUAAUAAGCUGAGCUCAUGACGGUACCGUAAGAAUAAGCACCGGCUAACUACGUGCCAGCAGCCGCGGUAAUACGUAGGGUGCGAGCGUUAAUCGGAAUUACUGGGCGUAAAGCGUGCGCAGGCGGUUAUGUAAGACAGAUGUGAAAUCCCCGGGCUCAACCUGGGAACUGCAUUAGUGACUGCAUAGCUGGAGUACGGCAGAGGGGGAUGGAAUUCCGCGUGUAGCAGUGAAAUGCGUAGAUAUGCGGAGGAACACCGAUGGCGAAGGCAAUCCCCUGGGCCUGUACUGACGCUCAUGCACGAAAGCGUGGGG